This 260-nucleotide ribosomal RNA is filed under the name uncultured bacterium. RNAcentral's name for it is "partial 16S ribosomal RNA". It matches the Rfam family "Bacterial small subunit ribosomal RNA", at positions 524 to 783 of the family's 1533-position model. The record is from RNAcentral.
UACGUAGGGUGCAAGCGUUGUCCGGAAUUAUUGGGCGUAAAGAGCUCGUAGGCGGUUUGGUAAGUCUGGUGUGAAAUCUCCACGCUCAACGUGGAGGGGCCACCCGAUACUGCCAUGACUGGAGUCCGGUAGAGGAGUGUGGAAUUCCCGGUGUAGCGGUGAAAUGCGCAGAUAUCGGGAGGAACACCAGUGGCGAAGGCGACUACCUGCCUGUUCUUGACGCUGAGGCGCGAAAGCUAGGGGAGCGAACGAGGAUUGAU